RNAcentral lists this ribosomal RNA (484 nucleotides) under uncultured bacterium. RNAcentral's name for it is "partial 16S ribosomal RNA". It matches the Rfam family "Bacterial small subunit ribosomal RNA", at positions 30 to 507 of the family's 1533-position model. The record is from RNAcentral.
AUUGAACGCUGGCGGCAGGCCUAACACAUGCCAGUCGAGCGGAUGAAUGGAGCUUGCUCCUGGAUUCAGCGGCGGACGGGUGAGUAAUGCCUAUGAAUCUGCCUUGUCGUGGGGGAUAACGUCCGGAAACGGGCGCUAAUACCGCAUCCGUCCUGAGGGAGAAAGUGGGGGAUCUUCGGACCUCACGCUAUCAGAUGAGCCUAGGUCGGAUUAGCUAGUUGGUGGGGUAAAGGCCUACCAAGGCGGCGAACCGUAACUGGUCUGAGAGGAUGAUCAGUCACACUGGAACUGAGACACGGUCCAGACUCCUACGGGAGGAAGCAGUGGGGAAUAUUGGACGAUGGGCGAAAGCGUGAUCCGGCCAUGCCGCGUGUGUGAAGAAGGUCUUAGGAUUGUAAAGCACUUUAAGUUGGGAGGAAGGGCAGUAAGUUAAUACCUGGCUGUUUUGACGGUACCAACAGAAUAAGCACCGGCUAACUUCGUG